This 20-nucleotide non-coding RNA is filed under the name Arabidopsis thaliana (thale cress). The record is from RNAcentral. Lineage: Eukaryota; Viridiplantae; Streptophyta; Magnoliopsida; Brassicales; Brassicaceae.
GGGCUUCCUGAUGGGCUUCG